Molecule: transfer RNA, 63 nt
Filed under: Acanthacorydalis unimaculata
Lineage: Eukaryota; Metazoa; Arthropoda; Insecta; Megaloptera; Corydalidae
Description: tRNA-His
Source: RNAcentral
GUUUAAAUAGUUUAAAAAAAAUAUUGAUUUGUGGUGUCAAAGAUGUAGAAUUUACUUUAGACU